Molecule: long non-coding RNA, 938 nt
Organism: Poecilia latipinna (sailfin molly)
Lineage: Eukaryota; Metazoa; Chordata; Actinopteri; Cyprinodontiformes; Poeciliidae
Exons: 2
Source: RefSeq, a predicted model, not a curated record
GCUCCUGAAAAGGAAUCCCAGAUGAAGACAAAUCAGACUGGAUCAGAACAUCAGGUCCAUGUUGGACAGACUGAAGAUCCUGGAUCUAAAAAGAGCAGCAGGAAGUCGACUGAACAGAACUGAUGCUGCAGAAUCCCACAGAGGGACUCUGGGACUGACACCAUCUGGACCUGCAGCCUUGUUCCGGUUCAGCCUCUCCAGCUGCGUCUUCACUGCUAGACACAGACAAGUUGGAGGUGGAGGCAGCAGCGUCUCCUAACGUGGUUGGAGACAAACUGGUGGAAGCAGGAGAGUCCAUGACUGAGGUGGAACAUCUGAGGUCUGACAGGAAAGCUGUGGGUCAGAGGAGGAUCAGAUAUCAGUUUGGAUGGAGACGGGAGAGGAUGAUGACGAUGAUGAAGAGCUUGUUCCUGGACUGAACCUGUUGAAGAAUGUGUUCAGCUCAUUUGCUCUGUCCAGAAAAUAAUGUUUAAAAACAGUCAUGGUAGCAUGUUUUUAUGUAAUAAUGAGUCUGUAAUGGUUGGAAUGAAGAAGAUAUGCUGCAUAAUCUGAUGUCAUUACAUAGAGUAUUGUGGCUCAGUGCAAAAACACAUUUUGUUGGUUUCUGAAGAGUAAAAAUUGAACAAAUGUGUAGAUUUAGUUUAUAUUUCACAGUCAUCACAAUGCUAAAGAAAAGUCUCACAACAGUGAAAAUCAUGGUGUUUAUUUACAAGACAGGAAGCGGGAGGAAGAUAUUUAAAAAUGUAAUAUAUUUCACAGUGUCAGGUUAUUUCUAUGUAUUAUGAUGUCAUGGUGAAUUUUUGGCCUUAUUGUUUUCUGUUUUAUACUUGUGUAUAACUUUCACUUGAUUUGUGAAAACAUGGAAAGUAAUUAAGCUGAUCAUUGAGUAAAAUAACAUUAAGUUGUAAGCAAAUUCAAUAAAAGCUUUUUUCCCAUCA